UACGUAGGGUGCAAGCGUUAAUCGGAAUUACUGGGCGUAAAGCGUGCGCAGGCGGUUAUAUAAGACAGUUGUGAAAUCCCCCGGGCUCAACCUGGGAACUGCAUCUGUGACUGUAUAGCUAGAGUACGGUAGAGGGGGAUGGAAUUCCGCGUGUAGCAGUGAAAUGCGUAGAUAUGCGGAGGAACACCGAUGGCGAAGGCAAUCCCCUGGACCUGUACUGACGCUCAUGCACGAAAGCGUGGGGAGCAAACAGG
This 254-nucleotide ribosomal RNA is filed under the name uncultured bacterium. RNAcentral's name for it is "partial 16S ribosomal RNA". It matches the Rfam family "Bacterial small subunit ribosomal RNA", at positions 524 to 776 of the family's 1533-position model. The record is from RNAcentral.